This 404-nucleotide long non-coding RNA is filed under the name Carica papaya (papaya). Its description in RNAcentral is "long non-coding RNA (CPAP_LNC003058)". The record is from RNAcentral. Lineage: Eukaryota; Viridiplantae; Streptophyta; Magnoliopsida; Brassicales; Caricaceae.
CAUAUAGUGUACGUAUCCUGUAUCACGUUUAAUUUGGCCUCUGCAUCCUACUGAGUGAGGUUGUAAGCCUUGCCAUGAAUAAAAAGUCUGGUCUGGUUUUGAUUCCUCAAGCACUCCAUCGCGUAAUGCUGGGCACUCCCACAUAUGCAGCAUGUAUUGUUGAAGCGAUAGUAGACUCGGUUCCCAUGAUCCUUGCCAUAGUGUUGGCAAAUCCUUCCACGUCCUGUUGUUGGAAUCUAAGGAGGAGUCUGAGUCAUUGGCCUAGGUCUCUUGUUUUGCUGAACAUGUACAGUAGGUUCUGGUCUGCGGUGUGGAAUCGGAUGCCUGAGGUUCUCUACUGCUUGAGGGAAAAUGCAAAGGUUUCUCUCUACUAACUAUGUCUUGGCUAGAACAACCGAGUAAAU